UACGUAGGGGGCUAGCGUUGUCCGGAAUCAUUGGGCGUAAAGAGCGUGUAGGCGGUCCGGUAAGUCCGCUGUGAAAGUCGGGGGCUCAACCCUGGGAUGCCGGUGGAUACUGUCGGGCUCGAGUCCGGAAGAGGAGUGUGGAAUUCCUGGUGUAGCGGUGAAAUGCGCAGAUAUCAGGAGGAACACCAAUGGCGAAGGCAGCACUCUGGGACGUGACUGACGCUGAGGCGCGAAAGCGUGGGGAGCAAACAGG
RNAcentral lists this ribosomal RNA (253 nucleotides) under uncultured bacterium. Its description in RNAcentral is "partial 16S ribosomal RNA". It matches the Rfam family "Bacterial small subunit ribosomal RNA", at positions 524 to 776 of the family's 1533-position model. The record is from RNAcentral.